AACGCGAAGAACCUUACCUGGGUUUGACAUCCCCGGACAGCCCUAGAGAUAGGGUUUCCCCUUCGGGGCCGGGAGACAGGUGCUGCAUGGCUGUCGUCAGCUCGUAUCGUGAGAUGUCGGGUUAAGUCCCUUAACGAGCGCAACCCUUGUCCCUAGUUGCCAUCAUUCAGUUGGGCACUCUAGGGAGACCGCCGGUGUUAAACCGGAGGAAGGUGGGGAUGACGUCAAGUCCUCAUGGCCCUUAUGUCCAGGGCUACACACGUGCUACAAUGGCCGAUACAAAGGGUUGCUAACCCGCAAGGGGGAGCUAAUCUCAGAAAGUCGGUCUCAGUUCGAAUUGAAGUCUGAAACUCGACUUCAUGAAGCUGGAAUCGCUAGUAAUCGCGGAUCAGCAUGCCGCGGUGAAUACGUUCCCGGGCCUUGUACACACCGUAGAGAC
This 439-nucleotide ribosomal RNA is filed under the name uncultured bacterium. Its description in RNAcentral is "bacterial SSU rRNA". It matches the Rfam family "Bacterial small subunit ribosomal RNA", at positions 958 to 1400 of the family's 1533-position model. The record is from RNAcentral.